GUGAGGAAUAUUGGUCAAUGGGCGGGAGCCUGAACCAGCCAAGUCGCGUGAAGGAAGAAGGAUCUAUGGUUCGUAAACUUCUUUUGUAGGGGAAUAAAGUGCAGGACGUGUCCUGUUUUGUAUGUACCCUGAGAAUAAGGAUCGGCUAACUCCGUGCCAGCAGCCGCGGUAAUACGGAGGAUCCGAGCGUUAUCCGGAUUUAUUGGGUUUAAAGGGUGCGUAGGUGGUUUGAUAAGUCAGCGGUGAAAGUUUGCAGCUUAACUGUAAAAAUGCCGUUGAAACUGUCGGACUUGAGUGUAAAUGAGGUAGGCGGAAUGCGUGGUGUAGCGGUGAAAUGCAUAGAUAUCACGCAGAACUCCGAUUGCGAAGGCAGCUUACUAAGCUACAACUGACACUGAAGCACGAAAGCGUGGGGAUCAAACAGGAUUAGAAACCCUAGUAGUCC
Molecule: ribosomal RNA, 445 nt
Filed under: uncultured bacterium
Lineage: Bacteria
Description: partial 16S ribosomal RNA
Rfam family: Bacterial small subunit ribosomal RNA
Source: RNAcentral